Molecule: ribosomal RNA, 375 nt
Filed under: uncultured organism
Description: partial 16S ribosomal RNA
Rfam family: Bacterial small subunit ribosomal RNA
Source: RNAcentral
GUAGGAGGCGAGCGUUAUCCGGAAUUAUUGGGGCGUAAAGGGCGUGUAGGGCGGCUCUUCAAGUCUGUGGGUGAAAUCUCCCGGCUCAACCGGGAGGGGUCCAGAGAAACUGGAGGGCUUGAGGGCAGCAGAGGGGGGUGGAAUUCCCGGUGUAGUGGUGAAAUGCGUAGAUACUGGGGGGAACACCGGUGGCGAAGGCGGCUCCCUGGACCGGCACUGACGCUGAGGUGCGAAAGCGUGAGUAGCAAACAGGAUUAGAUACCCUGGUAGUCCACGCCGUAAACGACGGGCACUAGGUGCAGCGGGUGUCGACCCCUGCUGUGCCGAAGCUAACGCAUUAAGUGCCCCGCCUGGGGAGUACGGUCGCAAAGGCUG